AUUGAACGCUGGCGGAAUGCUUUACACAUGCAAGUCGAACAGCAGCACGGACUUCGGUCUGGUGGCGAGUGGCGAACGGGUGAGUAAUGUAUCGGAACGUGCCCAGUCGUGGGGGAUAACGUAGUGAAAAUUACGCUAAUAACGCAUACGAUCUAUGGAUGAAAGCGGGGGAUCGCAAGACCUCGCGCGAUUGGAGCGGCCGAUAUCAGAUUAGGUAGUUGGUGGGGUAAAGGCCCACCAAGCCAACGAUCUGUAGCUGGUCUGAGAGGAAGACAAGCCACACUGGAACUGAGACACGGUCCAGACUCCUACGGGAGGCAGCAGUGUGGAAUUUUGGACAAUGGGCGAAAGCCUGAUCCAGCCAUUCCGCGGGCAGGAUGAAGGCCCUCGGGUUGUAAACUGCUUUUGUACAGAACGAAAAGGUUUCUACUAAUACUAGGAGCUCAUGACGGUACUGUAAGAAUAAGCACCGGCUAACUACGUGACAGCCGCCGCGGUAA
This 500-nucleotide ribosomal RNA is filed under the name uncultured bacterium. RNAcentral describes it as "partial 16S ribosomal RNA". It matches the Rfam family "Bacterial small subunit ribosomal RNA", at positions 30 to 523 of the family's 1533-position model. The record is from RNAcentral.